AGUAAAAGUCGUAACAAGGUCUCCGUAGGUGAACCUGCGGGGGGAUCAUUACAAGUGACCCCGGUCUAACCACCGGGAUGUUCAUAACCCUUUGUUGUCCGACUCUGUUGCCUCCGGGGCGACCCUGCCUUCGGGCGGGGGCUCCGGGUGGACACUUCAAACUCUUGCGUAACUUUGCAGUCUGAGUAAACUUAAUUAAUAAAUUAAAACUUUUAACAACGGAUCUCUUGGUUCUGGCAUCGAUGAAGAACGCAGCGAAAUGCGAUAAGUAAUGUGAAUUGCAGAAUUCAGUGAAUCAUCGAAUCUUUGAACGCACAUUGCGCCCCCUGGUAUUCCGGGGGGCAUGCCUGUUCGAGCGUCAUUUCACCACUCAAGCUUCGCUUGGUAUUGAGCAACGCGGUCCGCCGCGUGCCUCAAAUCGACCGGCUGGGUCUUCUGUCCCCUAAGCGUUGUGGAAACUAUUCGCUAAAGGGUGCUCGGGAGGCUACGCCGUAAAACAAACCCAUUUCUAAGGUUGACCUCGGAUCAGGUAGGGAUACCCGCUGAACUUAAGCAUAUCAAUAAGCGGAGGAAAAGAAACCAACAGGGAUUGCCCUAGU
Molecule: ribosomal RNA, 599 nt
Filed under: uncultured fungus
Lineage: Eukaryota; Fungi
Description: eukaryotic LSU rRNA
Rfam family: 5.8S ribosomal RNA (bases 208-361)
Source: RNAcentral